This 548-nucleotide ribosomal RNA is filed under the name uncultured bacterium. RNAcentral's name for it is "bacterial SSU rRNA". It matches the Rfam family "Bacterial small subunit ribosomal RNA", at positions 355 to 895 of the family's 1533-position model. The record is from RNAcentral.
UAGGGAAUCUUCGGCAAUGGACGAAAGUCUGACCGAGCAACGCCGCGUGAGUGAAGAAGGUUUUCGGAUCGUAAAGCUCUGUUGUAAGAGAAGAACGGGUGUGAGAGUGGAAAGUUCACACUGUGACGGUAUCUUACCAGAAAGGGACGGCUAACUACGUGCCAGCAGCCGCGGUAAUACGUAGGUCCCGAGCGUUGUCCGGAUUUAUUGGGCGUAAAGCGAGCGCAGGCGGUUAGAUAAGUCUGAAGUUAAAGGCUGUGGCUUAACCAUAGUACGCUUUGGAAACUGUUUAACUUGAGUGCAAGAGGGGAGAGUGGAAUUCCAUGUGUAGCGGUGAAAUGCGUAGAUAUAUGGAGGAACACCGGUGGCGAAAGCGGCUCUCUGGCUUGUAACUGACGCUGAGGCUCGAAAGCGUGGGGAGCAAACAGGAUUAGAUACCCUGGUAGUCCACGCCGUAACGAUGAGUGCUAGGUGUUAGACCCUUUCCGGGGUUUAGUGUCGCAGCUAACGCAUUAAGCACUCCGCCUGGGGAGUACGACCGCAAGGUU